This 422-nucleotide ribosomal RNA is filed under the name uncultured bacterium. Its description in RNAcentral is "bacterial SSU rRNA". It matches the Rfam family "Bacterial small subunit ribosomal RNA", at positions 355 to 774 of the family's 1533-position model. The record is from RNAcentral.
UAAGGAAUAUUGGUCAAUGGACGCAAGUCUGAACCAGCCAUGCCGCGUGAAGGAUGAAGGUCCUCUGGAUUGUAAACUUCUUUUAUAGGGGACGAAAAAAGGGAAUUCUUUCUCGUCUGACGGUACCCUAGGAAUAAGCACCGGCUAACUCCGUGCCAGCAACCGCGGUAAUACGGAGGGUGCAAGCGUUAUCCGGAUUUACUGGGUUUAAAGGGAGCGUAGGCGGGCAGGUAAGUCAGUGGUGAAAUCUCCGAGCUUAACUUGGAAACUGCCGUUGAUACUAUCUGUCUUGAAUGCUGUGGAGGUAAGCGGAAUAUGUCAUGUAGCGGUGAAAUGCUUAGAUAUGACAUAGAACACCGAUUGCGAAGGCAGCUCACUACGGAUGUAUUGACACUGAGGCACGAAAGCGUGGGGAUCAAACA